AUUUCUUCUCCGGGUGAGAGAAACACGUAUCGAAGGUUCAUGGCUCAGACAUCAACACCAACACCAACACCAUUUUUUUGAGAAGAACUUGGUCAUGCAUGUGGCUAUAUAUUAAUUGUUUGGUUAUGUACACAUUAUGUAUACGGGUUGCUCUCACCUGGGCUAGAGCUGC
RNAcentral lists this microRNA precursor (172 nucleotides) under Cajanus cajan (pigeon pea). RNAcentral describes it as "MIR4416 microRNA precursor family". It matches the Rfam family "MIR4416 microRNA precursor family". The record is from Rfam by way of RNAcentral. Lineage: Eukaryota; Viridiplantae; Streptophyta; Magnoliopsida; Fabales; Fabaceae.